Molecule: ribosomal RNA, 429 nt
Filed under: Bacillota bacterium
Lineage: Bacteria; Bacillati; Bacillota
Description: Firmicutes bacterium partial 16S ribosomal RNA
Rfam family: Bacterial small subunit ribosomal RNA
Source: RNAcentral
UGGGGAAUUUUGGACAAUGGGGGCAACCCUGAUCCAGCAAUGCCGCGUGUGUGAAGAAGGCCUUCGGGUUGUAAAGCACUUUUGUCCGGAAAGAAAACUUCGGGGCUAAUACCCCUGGAGGAUGACGGUACCGGAAGAAUAAGCACCGGCUAACUACGUGCCAGCAGCCGCGGUAAUACGUAGGGUGCGAGCGUUAAUCGGAAUUACUGGGCGUAAAGCGUGCGCAGGCGGUGCUGUAAGACCGAUGUGAAAUCCCCGGGCUGAACCUGGGAACUGCAUUGGUGACUGCAGCGCUAGAGUAUGGCAGAGGGGGGUGGAAUUCCACGUGUAGCAGUGAAAUGCGUAGAGAUGUGGAGGAACACCGAUGGCGAAGGCAGCCCCCUGGGCCAAUACUGACGCUCAUGCACGAAAGCGUGGGGAGCAAACAGG